Molecule: ribosomal RNA, 546 nt
Filed under: Hygrocybe miniata
Lineage: Eukaryota; Fungi; Basidiomycota; Agaricomycetes; Agaricales; Hygrophoraceae
Description: eukaryotic LSU rRNA
Rfam family: 5.8S ribosomal RNA (bases 187-340)
Source: RNAcentral
CAUUACUGAAAAAAACUCGAGGAUGUUGCUGGCGGCCACGCACGUGCACUCCUUGAACUAUUUCUGACCCUUUCCACACCAUGUGCACCUGUUGUAGGUCUGCCGACCUAUGUUUUUCUAAAACUCCAUCGAAUGUAUACGGAAUGUAUGAUUGCCAGGGCUUUUUAGCCCAAGUCAAUAAAGCACAACUUUCAACAAUGGAUCUCUUGGCUCUCGCAUCGAUGAAGAACGCAGCGAAAUGCGAUACGUAAUGUGAAUUGCAGAAUUCCGUGAAUCAUUGAAUCUUUGAACGCACCUUGCGCCCCUUGGUAUUCCGAGGGGCAUGCCUGUUUGAGUGUCAUUGAACCCCUCUCAACUUGACCUUUUGGGGUUGAGCUUGGAUUUGGAGAGUGCCGGCGUGUUCGGCUCCUCUGAAAAGCAUUAGCGAGCAACUCAUGCGUCUGCUUUGGCAUUGAUAAAUCUGUCUAUGCCUCUGGGCGGCACGCAUCUGGUGGUUUGCUUACGAGUGGUCUCUUUUUGAGGGACAACAUCACCCAACAAUCACCU